This 432-nucleotide ribosomal RNA is filed under the name uncultured bacterium. RNAcentral's name for it is "partial 16S ribosomal RNA". It matches the Rfam family "Bacterial small subunit ribosomal RNA", at positions 338 to 795 of the family's 1533-position model. The record is from RNAcentral.
CCUACGGGUGGCAGCAGUCGAGAAUUUUUCUCAAUGGGGGAAACCCUGAAGGAGCGACGCCGCGUGGAGGAUGAAGGCUUUCGGGUUGUAAACUCCUGUCAUUUGGGAACUAGUACCAGAAGAGGAAGAGACGGCUAACUCUGUGCCAGCAGCCGCGGUAAUACAGAGGUCUCAAGCGUUGUUCGGAUUCAUUGGGCGUAAAGGGUGCGUAGGUGGCGCGGUAAGUCGGGUGUGAAAUCUCGGAGCUUAACUCCGAAAUUGCAUUCGAUACUGCCGUGCUUGAGGACUGGAGAGGAGACUGGAAUUCAUGGUGUAGCAGUGAAAUGCGUAGAGAUCAUGAGGAAGACCAGUGGCGAAGGCGGGUCUCUGGACAGUCCUGACACUGAGGCACGAAGGCCAGGGGAGCAAACGGGAUUAGAUACCCUAGUAGUC